This 2031-nucleotide ribosomal RNA is filed under the name Triticum aestivum (bread wheat). RNAcentral's name for it is "partial small subunit ribosomal RNA". Lineage: Eukaryota; Viridiplantae; Streptophyta; Magnoliopsida; Poales; Poaceae. The record is from RNAcentral.
AUGCCCCUCGCGACUUACCAGUACCAAGCGCUCAAAGAGGCCCUCGCCGCUUCCAUCUCCACCGCCGGCGACGUGCGCCGCCCCCACGCCCUCGCCGUAGUGUCGGGUCUCGCCGGCAACGGCUACGUCGUCUCCCUCCUCGUAUCCCGCUACUUCCGCCUCGGCGCCGCCAAUGCCGCGCGCAGGGCGUUCGACGCUGUUCCCCUUCGCCGGGCAGCAUCGCUCCCCGUCUCGGCGCCGCCGCCUAAGCCCCUCCUCUACAACGCCAUGAUCCGCGGGUACCUCGCUCUCGGCCUCCCCCGCCUGGCGGUCGAUGUCUUCCGAGAGAUGGCGUGCCCGCCCGACCGCCACACGUACCACCUCGCCGUGACGGCGUGCGCUCGCGCGUCGGAGUUUGAGCUCGGUCGGCGUAUCGGGAGCGAAGCAUGCUCCAGAGGACUUUCAACCGACCUCCUGGUCGGGACGGCGCUGGUCGUAAUGCAUUCUGAAGCAGGUGACAUGGAGGCUGCUCUCACGGUGUUUGAUGAAAUGCCGCACCGCGAUGACGUGGUGUGGAAUGCCCUCAUUGCUGGCUAUGCCCGUGCGAAUUGCAUGGGAGAGGCUCUCAGGUUAUUCGUAAGGAUGAGGAUGGUGGAUGGAGUGUCUCCGACUGAGGCAACAUUGGUGAGCUUGGUUUCCGGGUUUGCAAGCUAUGGUUCUUGGAAGGUCUGCUAUAUGAUUCAUGCUGUUGUGAUUAGGUCUGGUUUCCACCUUAACGUCUGUGUUUGCAACGCUCUCCUGGAGCUUUAUCUUUACUCCGGCUGUUUGAGGGAGGCUGUCAUGUUGUUUCGUCAGAUGGAGGUGAAAGAUUCCAUCACUUGGAGUACGAUUAUUGGUGGGCUUGUUCGGAAUGGACGACCGAAUUCUGCUCUUAACCUUUUCCACUGGAUGCUGUCAAAUUCGACUGUGUCGGCCACUAGGUCCAUCUUGCUUAAUGUCAUUGCGGCCUGCGCUGAGCUGGGGGAGUGGGAACAAGGAAGAUGGAUUGAACAAAGCUAUGUGCUGGCUGAUUCUAGUGAAUUCAAUAGAGAUCCAUCUUUGGUAACUGCACUGAUAUAUAUGUAUGCAAGGUGUGGACAGUUAGAUUCUUCAAUUGCUCUUCUACAUGGAGUUGCAGCAAUGAGAGAUGACAUAGUUGCAUGGAAUGCCAUGAUCAAAGGCUGUGGAGUUCUCGGGCAUGUGGGAAAGGCAAUAGGAUUUGCAGUGGAAAUGCAGAGGGUAGGCAUUGAUCCAGAUGCUGUCACAUUCUUGGAGAUCCUACCUAUGAUUUCUUCGAUACCAUCACUGAAGAAGGGGAUGGAAGCACAUGGUCAGAUCGUUAAAAGAGGUUUCCAGAAUGAAAGGACAAUUGCUAAUUCACUCAUUACCAUGUAUGGUCGAUGUGGGGAUCUUAGACAUUCAUUUGACACCUUUAGUGGGAUUGUGGACAAGGAUGUAAUCUCUUGGACUUCUAUGAUUCAGGUAUACGCCUGGAAUGGACAUGCUGUUGAAGUUGUCGAGCUUUUUGAGCUGAUGAAGAAAACAGAAGUGAAACCGAACCGCUACACCUUUCUUGCUGUGCUGUCUGCAUGUAAGAACACAGGUCUUGUUGAAGAGGGAAUGGACUUGCUCAAGUUCAUGGAAGAGCAAUAUGGUCUUGAGCCGGAUGUUGAGCAUAUUUCAUGUGUUGUUGAUAUGCUCUGUCGUACUGGACGCUUGACUGAUGCAUAUGCAUAUGACCUGAUAAAAAGUACUAUUUCUGAACGUGUAGACAAUCAUAUAUUAUGGGGGAUAUUGCUAAGUGCUUCCCGUUCAUCUGGGGAUUUGGUGAUUGGAGAAGCAGCUGCCAGACAUCUCUUGUCUCUGGAUCCAGAAAAUCGAGCCAACUAUAAAAUGCUUGCUGAUAUUUAUGUCUCGCUUGGGAGAAGGGAUAGUGCUGAUAAUAUCCUUAGACUAUCAUUGUCAAGAGGGCUAGACUCGAAACCAGGCUGCAGCUGGACUGAAGGUGGCUAA